UGGGGAAUAUUGGACAAUGGGCGCAAGCCUGAUCCAGCCAUGCCGCGUGAGUGAUGAAGGCCCUAGGGUUGUAAAGCUCUUUCAGCGGGGAAGAUAAUGACGGUACCCGCAGAAGAAGCCCCGGCUAACUUCGUG
This 135-nucleotide ribosomal RNA is filed under the name uncultured Hyphomicrobiales bacterium. RNAcentral's name for it is "uncultured Rhizobiales bacterium partial 16S rRNA". It matches the Rfam family "Bacterial small subunit ribosomal RNA", at positions 355 to 507 of the family's 1533-position model. The record is from RNAcentral. Lineage: Bacteria; Pseudomonadati; Pseudomonadota; Alphaproteobacteria; Hyphomicrobiales.